Molecule: ribosomal RNA, 492 nt
Filed under: uncultured bacterium
Lineage: Bacteria
Description: partial 16S ribosomal RNA
Rfam family: Bacterial small subunit ribosomal RNA
Source: RNAcentral
AGUGAACGCUGGCGGUAGGCCUAACACAUGCAAGUCGAACGGCAGCACAGUAAGAGCUUGCUCUUACGGGUGGCGAGUGGCGGACGGGUGAGGAAUACAUCGGAAUCUACUUUUUCGUGGGGGAUAACGUAGGGAAACUUACGCUAAUACCGCAUACGACCUACGGGUGAAAGCAGGGGAUCUUCGGACCUUGCGCGAUUGAAUGAGCCGAUGUCGGAUUAGCUAGUUGGCGGGGUAAAGGCCCACCAAGGCGACGAUCCGUAGCUGGUCUGAGAGGAUGAUCAGCCACACUGGAAGUGAGACACGGUCCAGACUCCUACGGGAGGCAGCAGUGGGGAAUAUUGGACAAUGGGGGCAAGCCUGAUCCAGCCAUACCGCGUGGGUGAAGAAGGCCUUCGGGUUGUAAAGCCCUUUUGUUGGGAAAGAAAAGCAGCAGGUUAAUACCCCGCUGUUCUGACGGUACCCAAAGAAUAAGCACCGGCUAACUUCGUG